CAGUCGCCGCGGUAAUACGAAGGGGGCUAGCGUUGCUCGGAAUGACUGGGCGUAAAGGGCGCGUAGGCGGAUGGCACAGUCAGAUGUGAAAUUCCCGGGCUUAACCUGGGGGCUGCAUUUGAUACGUGUGAUCUAGAGUGAGGAAGAGGGUUGUGGAAUUCCCAGUGUAGAGGUGAAAUUCGUAGAUACUGGGAAGAACACCGGUGGCGAAGGCGGCAACCUGGUCCUUGACUGACGCUGAGGCGCGAAAGCGUGGGGAGCAAACAGGAUUAGAUACCCCAGUAGUCCCUGUCUCUUAUAC
RNAcentral lists this ribosomal RNA (301 nucleotides) under uncultured bacterium. RNAcentral describes it as "partial 16S ribosomal RNA". It matches the Rfam family "Bacterial small subunit ribosomal RNA", at positions 509 to 807 of the family's 1533-position model. The record is from RNAcentral.